Molecule: non-coding RNA, 29 nt
Filed under: Rattus norvegicus (Norway rat)
Lineage: Eukaryota; Metazoa; Chordata; Mammalia; Rodentia; Muridae
Source: RNAcentral
UGAGCCUUGUCAGGGUUCUAAAUCCAUGC